RNAcentral lists this ribosomal RNA (603 nucleotides) under uncultured bacterium. RNAcentral's name for it is "bacterial SSU rRNA". The stretch from base 1 to 517 matches the Rfam family "Bacterial small subunit ribosomal RNA", at positions 338 to 873 of the family's 1533-position model. The record is from RNAcentral.
CCUACGGGAGGCAGCAGUGGGGAAUAUUGGGCAAUGGAGGAAACUCUGACCCAGCGACGCCGCGUGCGGGAUGAAGGCCUUCGGGUUGUAAACCGCUUUCAGCAGGGAAUAAGCGCAAGUGAAGGUACCUGCAGAAGAAGCACCGGCUAACUAUGUGCCAGCAGCCGCGGUAAUACAUAGGGUGCAAGCGUUGUCCGGAAUUAUUGGGCGUAAAGAGCUCGUAGGUGGUUUGUUACGUCGGUUGUGAAAUUCAGGGGCUCAACCCCUGACUUGCAGCCGAUACGGGCAAGCUAGAGUUUGGUAGGGAGACUGGAAUUCCUGGUGUAGCGGUGGAAUGCGCAGAUAUCAGGAGGAACACCGAUGGCGAAGGCAGGUCUCUGGGCCAAUACUGACACUGAGGAGCGAAAGCGUGGGGAGCGAACAGGAUUAGAUACCCUGGUAGUCCACGACGUAACGGUAGGCGCGUAGUGUGCGACUACCUACGUUGUGUCGCGCAGCUACGACAUAGACGCCCGCCGUCGGGAGGUACGAGUCGCGAGAGUAAACGUAACUAAGUAGUUAGUUAGUAGCGUUGAGAGNGCGAGGACGACGACGAGGAGGAGG